RNAcentral lists this ribosomal RNA (179 nucleotides) under uncultured bacterium. RNAcentral describes it as "partial 16S ribosomal RNA". It matches the Rfam family "Bacterial small subunit ribosomal RNA", at positions 1321 to 1500 of the family's 1533-position model. The record is from RNAcentral.
UGAAGCUGGAAUUGCUAGUAAUGGCAGGUCAGCAUACUGCCGUGAAUACGUUCCCGGGCCUUGUACACACCGCCCGUCACACCAUGGGAGCCGGUAAUACCCGAAGUCAGUAGUCCAACCUCGUGAGGACGCUGCCGAAGGUAGGAUUGGCGACUGGGGUGAAGUCGUAACAAGGUAAC